Molecule: long non-coding RNA, 1514 nt
Filed under: Daphnia magna
Lineage: Eukaryota; Metazoa; Arthropoda; Branchiopoda; Diplostraca; Daphniidae
Description: uncharacterized LOC123469712
Source: RNAcentral
GUCUUCACCAGUGAACUGAUACUGAUCCGAUUCCGUGUCGUUAAAAAACGGAUUUUUUGAGGGCCGUAGAACGGAUUGGUUUCCGUUCUCUAACGCUAGAGUCGCAUGAAGGCAAUAACGUUAUGCCUACCCUCUAGCGCCUCUAGCUGAUUCAUAAUCGGAUUCGUUUCAGUUAACCGAUUUUUGACAAAGCAGCGCGUUGUUCAAAUCAGUGAGCGGACCCGUUUCCGUUCACAGAUCCGUUUCAGUUUAUUAUCAACUUGUUUUUAUAAUAAGAAGCCGAAACCUUUCCAUUAUUUGAACGGAUUCGUUUCCGUUUCCAUAGCACGUUUUUAGUAAACAAACUGUUUGCUUAUUAGAAUAUUAACCGAUUUUAAUUGUGUUAUUGAAAAACAAAACAACAAAAUGUCGUCGAACAAGAAAAGUGAUCUAUUGAAGGAUUUAAAAAAGAAUUAUAUAUUCAAAAGCAAAGAGAUUUCAAGAGGGAAAUAAGAAAAAACCAAAAGGAAAGAAAAAGUUUUCCCAAAGUUAAACGACAACUUAGUUCAUCAAUUCCCCCAGAUCUCAACAGAAAUGAAUCAGCCAAAAGAAAAAGAAUGAAAAGAACCUCUAAAGACUGUUCCACUGAAAACGAAAAUUCCCUGACAAUUGAUAGAGAAGAUAUUGAAGCAGCCAACAACUUAGAUUCACCUAUUCCGAGUCAGCUAGAACAAUAUCUGAAUCAAAUUCAAAGUGACUUCAAUAUUGAUGCUGACGGGAGUGUACCUCUAGGAGAAGAAGUGAAGAAACAUGAGAGACGUAUGGGCCAAAUUGCUGUUGAUUGGGAUGUGCACUGGGAUGAAGUUGUCAAUGGCCUUAUUGCAAGCUACGCAACUAUUCCAUCACUGUGCUGGAUUUGUAAAAGUCCCUUGCAGCUUGUUACACUCGCUGUCUCUGUUGUGUCAAGACAUAUUGUCAAGACUGCGACUUCCAAUUCCAUUCAUGGAAUGUGUUCCACAGAAGACAAUUAUUGUUUCAAGAUUCCAAAGUGAUUAAACUAAAGCCUAACGAGUUUUGGGAUUCAACUUUAGCUGAGAUAGUUACAAAAGAGGUUGCAGUUCCGUGCUUCGUUCCUCUGCAAUGCCAAUCUUGUCUAAGCAUAAACUCGUUGACAAUUGAACCAUUGAAGAGUAAAUUCAUGAUAGUUGUCACACUUCUAGGAUUUUUUCCAGUACCCGCAAUCCAUUAAAAUUUCAAGAGGGAAAAUUGUCUUAAUGAACUUGGAACUUAAUCGCAUUCAAGAGAAAGUUGCCAGAGCGGUCUCACUCUUCAAGAUAUACAUUCACGGGAGCUUCAACUGUAACUCCGAUUGUGAUACUGACCGUGACUCAGACCGUGAUUGUGAUCAAGACUCCGACAGUGAAUCUCAUCAAGACUUCAACAGUGACUCUCACCAAGACUCCGACUCAGAUUCUGAUCGUGAUGUCUCUGAACCUGACCCCAUCACUGUAUUGACUCUGUAGACGUUUUCAUGU